UCCCGCAGACAGACUCAUUUUGCCGGAAAACGAAUCUGACAUGCCAUCUCGAGAUUUUAACCAAGGAAAGACAAGUUGAUGUGCUUUGAUUUGAGGGGUCACUCACUACCGAACGAAAAUUAGGGACAUCGCUAUGAGAAGAAACGUUAACAUUGUCGCCUAUGGGAAAACAAUUAGUGGACUGUACCCAUAUUAGGAAGCCUAUAAGUUUAUGGUGAUUGGUACAGGAAAAACAUGAGGUCCAUGCAGAUGGUGUUUAAAACUAUUGGCCAGCAAAUGCACACCCAUUUGAAUACAUCUUGAAAAAGAACCAGCAAAAUGUGACAGUCGGCAAAAUAUAGGUUCCCGCAGACAGACUCAUUUUGCCGGAAAACGAAUCUGACAUGCCACCUCGAGAUUUUAACCAAGGAAAGACAAGUUGAUGUGCUUUGAUUUGAGGGGUCACUCACUACCGAACGAAAAUUAGGGACAUCGCUAUGAGAAGAAACGUUAACAUUGUCGCCUAUGGGAAAACAAUUAGUGGACUGUACCCAUC
Saccostrea cuccullata (small rock oyster) is the source of this 535-nucleotide long non-coding RNA. RefSeq lists it as uncharacterized. The record is from RefSeq and is a predicted model, not a curated record. The transcript is spliced from 3 exons. Lineage: Eukaryota; Metazoa; Mollusca; Bivalvia; Ostreida; Ostreidae.